GCCGGGCAUAGUGGUGUGUGCCUGUAGUCCCAGCUACUUAGGAGGCUGAGGCAGGAGAAUCACUUGAACCCGGGAGGCAGAGGUUGCAGUGAGCUGAGAUCAUGCCACUGCACUCCAGCCUGGGUGACAGAGUGAGACUCUGUCUCAA
RNAcentral lists this small RNA (148 nucleotides) under Callithrix jacchus (white-tufted-ear marmoset). Its description in RNAcentral is "Metazoan signal recognition particle RNA (ENSCJAG00000082910.1)". It matches the Rfam family "Metazoan signal recognition particle RNA". Rfam says of the family: The signal recognition particle (SRP) is a universally conserved ribonucleoprotein. It is involved in the co-translational targeting of proteins to membranes. The record is from Rfam by way of RNAcentral. Lineage: Eukaryota; Metazoa; Chordata; Mammalia; Primates; Cebidae.